Molecule: ribosomal RNA, 402 nt
Filed under: uncultured bacterium
Lineage: Bacteria
Description: bacterial SSU rRNA
Rfam family: Bacterial small subunit ribosomal RNA
Source: RNAcentral
GGAAUAUUGCACAAUGGAGGAAACUCUGAUGCAGUGACGCCGCGUAUAGGAUGAAGGUCUUUGGAUUGUAAACUAUUGUCGACAGGGAAGAAAAAAAUGACAGUACCUGUGGAGGAAGCUCCGGCUAACUACGUGCCAGCAGCCGCGGUAAUACGUAGGGAGCGAGCGUUAUCCGGAUUUAUUGGGUGUAAAGGGCGCGUAGACGGAUCUGCAAGUUGGAUGUGAAAUCCCUAGGCUUAACUUAGGAACUGCAUCCAAAACUGUAGACCUUGAGUAUGGGAGAGGAAAGCGGAAUUCCUAGUGUAGCGGUGAAAUGCGUAGAUAUUAGGAGGAACACCAGUGGCGAAGGCGGCUUUCUGGACCAAAACUGACGUUGAGGCGCGAAAGUGUGGGGAGCAAACA